Molecule: ribosomal RNA, 253 nt
Filed under: uncultured bacterium
Lineage: Bacteria
Description: partial 16S ribosomal RNA
Rfam family: Bacterial small subunit ribosomal RNA
Source: RNAcentral
GACGUAGGGCGCGAGCGUUGUCCGGAUUUAUUGGGCGUAAAGAGCUCGUAGGCGGUCUGUCGCGUCUGCCGUGAAAACCCGAGGCUUAACCUCGGGCUGGCGGUGGAUACGGGCAGACUAGAGGUAGGUAGGGGAGAAUGGAAUUCCCGGUGUAGCGGUGAAAUGCGCAGAUAUCGGGAGGAACACCGGUGGCGAAGGCGGUUCUCUGGGCCUUACCUGACGCUGAGGAGCGAAAGCGUGGGGAGCGAACAGG